This 68-nucleotide transfer RNA is filed under the name Pseudoglomeris magnifica. Its description in RNAcentral is "tRNA-Val". The record is from RNAcentral. Lineage: Eukaryota; Metazoa; Arthropoda; Insecta; Blattodea; Blaberidae.
CAAGUUGUUUAGAAGUUAAAGUUUUCAUUUACAUUGAAAUUUAUAUUGUGCAAUUCAAUAUAACUUGA